Molecule: ribosomal RNA, 468 nt
Filed under: uncultured bacterium
Lineage: Bacteria
Description: partial 16S ribosomal RNA
Rfam family: Bacterial small subunit ribosomal RNA
Source: RNAcentral
GACGAACGCUGGCGGCGUGCUUAACACAUGCAAGUCGAACGGAAAGGCCCUGCUUUUGUGGGGUGCUCGAGUGGCGAACGGGUGAGUAACACGUGAGUAACCUGCCCUUGACUUUGGGAUAACUUCAGGAAACUGGGGCUAAUACCGGAUAGGAGCUCCUGCUGCAUGGUGGGGGUUGGAAAGUUUCGGCGGUUGGGGAUGGACUCGCGGCUUAUCAGCUUGUUGGUGGGGUAGUGGCUUACCAAGGCGUUGACGGGUAGCCGGCCUGAGAGGGUGACCGGCCACAUUGGGAAUGAGAUACGGCCCAGACUCCUACGGGAGGCAGUAGGGGGGAAUAUUGCACAAUGGGCGGGAGCCUGAUGCAGCAACGCCGCGUGCGGGAUGACGGCCUUCGGGUUGUAAACCGCUUUCGCCUGUGACGAAGCGUGAGUGACGGUAAUGGGUAAAGAAGCACCGGCUAACUACGUG